GGUCAAGCUACAAAGGGCGCAUGGUGAAUGCCUUGGCAUCAGGAGCCGAUGAAGGACGUGAUAAGCUGCGAUAAGCUUCGGGUAGGCGCACAUAGCCUGAGAUCCGAAGAUCUCCGAAUGAGGAAACUCACAUGGGAAACCCCAUGUAUCAUUAAGUGAAUACAUAGCUUAAUGAAGGUAACCCAGGGAACUGAAACAUCUAAGUACCUGGAGGAAGAGAAAGAAAAAUCGAUUUUCUUAGUAGCGGCGAGCGAAAGGGAAAGAGCCCAAACCGGAAACUUGUUUCCGGGGUUGUGGACAUAGCAUAAAAGUGGAGGCUAUUGUAACUGAAGAGAACUGGAAAGUUCCACCGUAGAAGGUAAUAGUCCUGUAAGUGAAACGAGAAGACCACGAGUUAUGAUCCAGAGUACCACGAGACACGUGAAACCUUGUGGGAAGCAGGGAGGACCACCUCCCAAGGCUAAAUACUACCUGAUGACCGAUAGUGAAGCAGUACCGUGAGGGAAAGGUGAAAAGAACCCCGGGAGGGGAGUGAAAUAGAACCUGAAACCGUGUGCCUACAACCGCUCAGAGCCCCUUAUGAGGGUGAUGAGGUGCUUUUUGUAGAACGAGCCAACGAGUUACGGUAUGUAGCAAGGUUAAGUACUUAAGGUACGGAGCCGAAGGGAAACCGAGUCUGAAUAGGGCGACUAGUUGCAUGCCGUAGACCCGAAACCGGGUGACCUAUCCAUGGCCAGGUUGAAGCGAGGGUAAAACCUCGUGGAGGACCGAACCACGUUGCUGUUGAAAAAGCAUGGGAUGAGCUGUGGAUAGCGGAGAAAUUCCAAUCGAACCCGGAGAUAGCUGGUUCUCUCCGAAAUAGCUUUAGGGCUAGCGUCGAGUAUGAGUAGUGGAGGUAGAGCACUGAAUGGGCUAGGGGGCAUAGCGCUUACCGAACCUUAUCAAACUCCGAAUGCCACAUACUUUGAGCUCGGCAGUCAGACUACGAAUGAUAAGAUCCGUGGUCAAAAGGGAAACAGCCCAGAUCGUCAGCUAAGGUCCCAAAGUGUAAGUUAAGUGGGAAAGGAUGUGAGAUUUCUAAGACAACUAGGAUGUUGGCUUAGAAGCAGCCAUUCAUUAAAAGAGUGCGUAAUAGCUCACUAGUCGAGAGAUCUUGCGCCGAAAAUGUAACGGGGCUAAACUUACCACCGAAGCUACGGGCUUGAACUUAGUUCAAGCGGUAGGAGAGCGUCGUAACCGGGCUGAAGUCGUACCGUAAGGAGCGGUGGACUGGUUACGAGUGAGAAUGUUGGCAUCAGUAGCGAGAUGUGGGUGAGAAUCCCACAGGCCGAAAACCUAAGGUUUCCUCAGGAAGGUUCGUCCGCUGAGGGUUAGUCGGGACCUAAGCCGAGGCCGAAAGGCGUAGGUGAUGGACAACUGGUUGAUAUUCCAGUACCACUACCAUCGUUAUUAUCGAUGGCGUGACGCAGGAGGAUAGUGUGUGCUAGCUAUUGGAUGCUAGUCUAAGCGUUUAGGCAGUGAGAGUAGGCAAAUCCGCUCUCAUAAUGCUGAGGCGUGAUGGGGAAGGUUCUACGGAACCGAAGUACAUGAUUCCACGCUGCCAAGAAAAGCGUCUAGAGAGAGAAGUAGUGCCCGUACCGCAAACCGACACAGGUAGGUGAGGAGAGAAUCCUAAGGCCGGCGGAAGAAUUACAGUUAAGGAACUCGGCAAAUUGACCCCGUAAGUUCGCGAGAAGGGGUGCCUACGAGAGUAGGCCGCAGAGAAUAGGCCCAAGCAACUGUUUAGCAAAAACACAGGUCUCUGCUAAAGCGUAAGCUGAUGUAUAGGGGCUGACGCCUGCCCGGUGCUGGAAGGUUAAGGGGAACACUUAGCGCAAGCGAAGGUGUGAACUUAAGCCCCAGUAAACGGCGGCCGUAACUAUAACGGUCCUAAGGUAGCGAAAUUCCUUGUCAGGUAAGUUCUGACCCGCACGAAUGGCGUAAUGACUUGGGCACUGUCUCAACUGUAAAUCCGGCGAAGUUGUAGUGCGAGUGAAGAUGCUCGCUACCCGCGAUUGGACGGAAAGACCCCGUAGAGCUUUACUGUAGCUUAGCAUUGAGUUUUGGUAUUGUCUGUACAGGAUAGGUGGGAGACUAGGAAACCAGGGCGUCAGCCUUGGUGGAGUCAACCUUGGGAUACCACCCUGACAGUACUGAAAUUCUAACUGGCGGCCAUGAAUCUGGUCACAGGACAUUGUUAGGUGGGCAGUUUGACUGGGGCGGUCGCCUCCUAAAAAGUAACGGAGGCGCCCAAAGGUUCCCUCAGAACGGUCGGAAAUCGUUCGAAGAGUGCAAAGGCAGAAGGGAGCCUGACUGCGACACCCACAAGUGGAGCAGGGACGAAAGUCGGGCUUAGUGAUCCGGUGGUACCUCGUGGGAGGGCCAUCGCUCAACGGAUAAAAGCUACCUCGGGGAUAACAGGCUGAUCUCCCCCAAGAGUCCACAUCGACGGGGAGGUUUGGCACCUCGAUGUCGGCUCGUCGCAUCCUGGGGCUGAAGUAGGUCCCAAGGGUUGGGCUGUUCGCCCAUUAAAGCGGCACGCGAGCUGGGUUCAGAACGUCGUGAGACAGUUCGGUCCCUAUCCGUCGCGGGCGUAGGAAAUUUGAGAGGAGCUGUCCUUAGUACGAGAGGACCGGGAUGGACUGACCUCUGGUGUACCAGUUGUUCCGCCAGGAGCACAGCUGGGUAGCUAAGUCGGGAAUGGAUAAACGCUGAAAGCAUCUAAGCGUGAAGCCAACCUCAAGAUGAGAUUUCCCAUAGCGUAAGCUAGUAAGAUCCCUUGAAGAACACAAGGUUGAUAGGUCGGGGGUGUAAGCAUGGUAACAUGUUCAGCUGACCGAUACUAAUAGAUCGAGGGCUUGACC
Molecule: ribosomal RNA, 2903 nt
Filed under: Clostridium perfringens
Lineage: Bacteria; Bacillati; Bacillota; Clostridia; Eubacteriales; Clostridiaceae
Description: partial 23S ribosomal RNA
Rfam family: Bacterial large subunit ribosomal RNA
Source: RNAcentral